This 333-nucleotide unclassified non-coding RNA is filed under the name soil metagenome. Its description in RNAcentral is "partial contains 5.8S ribosomal RNA, internal transcribed spacer 2, and large subunit ribosomal RNA". The stretch from base 1 to 120 matches the Rfam family "5.8S ribosomal RNA", at positions 35 to 154 of the family's 154-position model. The record is from RNAcentral.
GAUGAAGAACGUAGCGAAAUGCGAUAAGUAGUGUGAAUUGCAGAAUUCAGUGAAUCAUCGAAUCUUUGAAAGCACAUUGCGCCCCUCGGUAUUCCGUGGGGCAUGCCUGUUCGAGCGUCAUUUACCCCUCAAGCACUGCUUGGUGUUGGGCGUCUGUCCCGCUUCGCGCGCGGACUCGCCCCAAAGGUAUUGGCAGCGGUCGCGCCAGCUUCUCGCGCAGCACAUUGCGCUUCUCGAGGCGGUCGAUCGGCGUCCACGAAGCUCACCUCCACCGUUUGACCUCGGAUCAGGUAGGGAUACCCGCUGAACUUAAGCAUAUCAAUAAGCGGAGGA